GUGAGACAGUUUGGUCCCUAUCUGCCGUGGGCGUUGGAUAUUUGAAGGGGGCUGCUCCUAGUACGAGAGGACCGGAGUGGACGAACCUCUGGUGUACCGGUUGUGACGCCAGUCGCAUCGCCGGGUAGCUAUGUUCGGAAGAGAUAACCGCUGAAAGCAUCUAAGCGGGAAACUCGCCUUAAGAUGAGAUAUCCCUGGAGGCUUGACCUCCUUGAAGGGUCGUUCGAGACCAGGACGUUGAUAGGUCGGGUGUGUAAGCGCAGUAAUGCGUUCAGCUAACCGAUACUAAUUGCCCGUAAGGCUUGAUCCUAUAACA
RNAcentral lists this ribosomal RNA (316 nucleotides) under Burkholderia ubonensis. RNAcentral's name for it is "bacterial LSU rRNA". It matches the Rfam family "Bacterial large subunit ribosomal RNA", at positions 2621 to 2925 of the family's 2925-position model. The record is from RNAcentral. Lineage: Bacteria; Pseudomonadati; Pseudomonadota; Betaproteobacteria; Burkholderiales; Burkholderiaceae.